RNAcentral lists this ribosomal RNA (485 nucleotides) under uncultured bacterium. Its description in RNAcentral is "bacterial SSU rRNA". It matches the Rfam family "Bacterial small subunit ribosomal RNA", at positions 32 to 496 of the family's 1533-position model. The record is from RNAcentral.
AAUCAACGCUGGCGGCGUGCCUAACACAUGCAAGUCGAACGAGAAAGUGACUUCGGUCACUGGACAGUGGCGUCCGGGUGAGUAACACGUGGGUAAUCUACCUUCGGGUGGGGAAUAACGUCUCGAAAGAGACGCUAAUACCGCAUAAUGCAGCGGCACCUUAUGGUGAAUAGUUGUUAAAGCGGGGGAUCGCAAGACCUCGCGCCUGAAGAGGAGCCUGCGGCAGAUUAGCUAGUUGGUGAGGUAAUGGCUCACCAAGGCUGCGAUCUGUAGCUGGUCUGAGAGGACGGCCAGCCACACUGGCACUGACACACGGGCCAGACUCCUACGGGAGGCAGCAGUGGGGAAUUUUGGGCAAUGGGCGCAAGCCUGACCCAGCAACGCCGCGUGAGGGAGGAAAUCCUUCGGGAUGUAACCUCAUAAGUAAGGGAGAGUGCGAAGAUUGAAUACAUCUUCCGCUCGACGGUACUUUAUGUAAGCCACGG